UACGAAGGGAGCUAGCGUUGUUCGGAAUCACUGGGCGUAAAGCGCACGUAGGCGGACUUGUCAGUCAGGGGUGAAAUCCCGGGGCUCAACCUCGGAACUGCCUCUGAUACAGCAAGUCUCGAGUCCGGAAGAGGUGGGUGGAAUUCCUAGUGUAGAGGUGAAAUUCGUAGAUAUUAGGAAGAACACCGGUGGCGAAGGCGGCCCACUGGUCCGGUACUGACGCUGAGGUGCGAAAGCGUGGGGAGCAAACAGG
This 253-nucleotide ribosomal RNA is filed under the name uncultured bacterium. RNAcentral describes it as "partial 16S ribosomal RNA". It matches the Rfam family "Bacterial small subunit ribosomal RNA", at positions 524 to 776 of the family's 1533-position model. The record is from RNAcentral.